RNAcentral lists this transfer RNA (71 nucleotides) under Desmophyllum pertusum. RNAcentral describes it as "Lophelia pertusa tRNA". It matches the Rfam family "tRNA". From Rfam's summary of the family: Transfer RNA (tRNA) molecules are approximately 80 nucleotides in length. Their secondary structure includes four short double-helical elements and three loops (D, anti-codon, and T loops). The record is from Rfam by way of RNAcentral. Lineage: Eukaryota; Metazoa; Cnidaria; Anthozoa; Scleractinia; Caryophylliidae.
GCACUGGUGGUUCAGUGGUAGAAUUCUCGCCUGCCACGCGGGAGACCUGGGUUCGAUUCCCGGCCAGUGCA